This 497-nucleotide ribosomal RNA is filed under the name uncultured bacterium. Its description in RNAcentral is "partial 16S ribosomal RNA". It matches the Rfam family "Bacterial small subunit ribosomal RNA", at positions 28 to 507 of the family's 1533-position model. The record is from RNAcentral.
GAUGAACGCUGGCGGCGUGCCUAAUACAUGCAAGUCGAGCGAACGGACGAGAAGCUUGCUUCUCUGAUGUUAGCGGCGGACGGGUGAGUAACACGUGGAUAACCUACCUAUAAGACCGGGAUAACUUCGGGAAACCGGAGCUAAUACCGGAUAAUAUUUUGAACCGCAUGGUUCAAAAGUGAAAGACGGUCUUGCUGUCACUUAUAGAUGGAUCCGCGCUGCAUUAGCUAGUUGGUAAGGUAACGGCUUACCAAGGCAACGAUGCAUAGCCGACCUGAGAGGGUGAUCGGCCACACUGGAACUGAGACACGGUCCAGACUCCUACGGGAGGCAGCAGUAGGGAAUCUUCCGCAAUGGGCGAAAGCCUGACGGAGCAACGACGCGUGAGUGAUGAAGGUCUUCGGAUCGUAAAACUCUGUUAUUAGGGAAGAACAUAUGUGUAAGUAACUGUGCACAUCUUGACGGUACCUAAUCAGAAAGCCACGGCUAACUACGUG